This is a long non-coding RNA of Mastomys coucha (southern multimammate mouse), 1127 nucleotides long. RefSeq lists it as uncharacterized. Lineage: Eukaryota; Metazoa; Chordata; Mammalia; Rodentia; Muridae. The record is from RefSeq and is a predicted model, not a curated record. The transcript is spliced from 2 exons.
CAGGGAGCAUCAAGUCACACCAUUCCUGUGUGCCUCAGCCAGGAAGCUAGGGAUACACCUGCCAGACUGGAAAGGCUCUCUGACAGCUUCCUUCCUGGUAAAGGUCCAGAGUCUCUUUCACUUUUGAAGAACAGUUCCCUAGCUGAGGGACCUUAUUCAAGGACACACACUGCAGUGAACCCCGUGCAAGAGUAGGGUGAGUAGUGGGAUCCAGAUUCCAUCACACCACUUAGUUAUGGGAAGGGCUGGCCUCACUCCACUAAGGAGUAUUGUGGCAGACACGGGGACCUUGUCCUGAAAACCCAGGGCCCAAGACCCCACCCUCUGCUUGGGGACUCUGCAGGCCAGCUCUGGUGGUUGAUAGACUGCUGGAUUCACCUGUCUGGUUCAUGUGACUUCUCCUGUCAUAGCCUAUCCUGCACCCUCCUAUCUGCACUGAAUAUGCAGGAAUAAGGGAAUGAUGAGGUAUUCAGAGGUCAGAUAGGGCAUGAGAUAUAUAUUAAGUAUUAUCUAUGCUAUUUGUAGGGAGUGGUGUGGGACAGCCAAGGUCUCCAGAGAACUAAGUUACACAAAGUUAGUGAAGACAAGAUGGAAUACCUCAAAACAGUUGCCUUGGGAUUGAAAACCACAGCCCUCUAACUUGGCUCCUUCCCUUGAUCUCUCCAUUUCUACUUAUCCUCAUACAUCAUUUUUACCCUGCCCUUUAAAAGUUAUAUAUGAGGUCCUCCUGGAUCCAAUCACUGCCAUUACUCACUCCACAUUAGGACAAUGGCUGCCCUGGCUAGGGCCCUACUGGUUCCUCUUUCCUCCAUCUCAUUAUAUAGUUCACAACCUCCUGUCUAAUAACAGUUUUCAGAGGUUUCACCAAAGUAAAUGGCAGCAAUCACAUGACUGAUCCGGCAGAGCAGAUCAAGUUAAAAAUCUCUUUCUAGCACAUGAAGUCCACCCACAAUUCACACACCCCUAACCUCUAGGCUCAGGAUGCAGCUCCACCUCCACCAUCCCCCUCCACAGGAAACAAUCAGUAAGAAUGCACACACCCCACCCUAACCUCUAGGCACAGGAUGCAGCUCCACUUCCACCAUCCCCCUCCCACAGGAAACAGUCAGUAAGAGUGCACACACCCC